CCUUCAACGGAUAUUAGCGUUCCACUAGCCUUAGGAGUUAGCCACUCU
This 48-nucleotide transfer RNA is filed under the name Afroedura sp. multiporus. Its description in RNAcentral is "partial tRNA-Leu". Lineage: Eukaryota; Metazoa; Chordata; Lepidosauria; Squamata; Gekkonidae. The record is from RNAcentral.